CUCACCCUUCUGCUCCAGGAGUCACCUGCUUCUCUCCAGCCAAUUCAGGAGCAUCAUCCUCUUCUGAUGACCCAGCACUGGAGGAUUCCUCAUCACUGUCUGCAAGACAAUACGCCCUUGGCCUGAAACUGAAAGAAUGCAAUUUCCAGAAUCCAAGAUGGAAUAAGGCCAUCAACGUCACACUGAGAAGAGGGAAGAAGUAAAGUAAGAAUAAUAAAGAAGUUCUGCUCUUAGGGUACAAAAUAUCACACAGUAGCAACUAAUUCCUGGGCUUCAGCUAUGGAAGAAUUUAUGCACACAACCACACAAAUUCAAAUCUUUUAAACGGAUUAAUAUCCAGGAAGGAUACAGUGAACAGUAUUCACAGAUCUCCACCUAAUGCAAGAGCUUGAAACCGUUACACAAACUUCAAAAGCACAUUUUUGGCCCUAGGGACUAUACUCAGCAUUCAAAUACUAUACAACCUGUUCAGAAUACAAGUUAUUGCUGUGUCUUGUCGUUGUUGUUCACUUUUGGGGGAUUUUUAGGUGUGUGUUUGGCUUUUUUGCAUGCUCUAGAAGACUUGAAACGUUUAAUAACCUCACACAUGGACCAAGGCUGCUGUCUGCUAUUCUCUGCACAGAACAAACUGUUAGUUACUGCAUGAAGUCCUAAUGUAAAAGGACAGAUCAAAUGCAGCUCACCAGUGCACAGCACUGCUUUCUAACUGCCUACUUAAGAACGAAAGCAGCAAUCCCAUUGACCUCUCUACAGUGCAGAAUGUGCUUCCUGGGCUACUGGAAUGGAAUAAACCUCUUCUUACUCUGAGAUGCAUUUGGAUCUACAAAAGAGAAACAGCAUAGCGAACUGAACCACCUCCCUGAGGACUUGGGAAGGAAAAAGAGGCAUCCCAUCUCUGGCUCUCAUAGCAACGCUGGAGCUAUUUCACAUGUUUUUAGGUCAGAUUCAAACUAUGUAUUUUCUACCUGGGGUGACCCAACUUCCUUUCCUGUCCAUGUGAUACCGCCCUUACAAAAAGGCACUUUAUUUGCCUGGAUAUAGGAUCCUCUGAAGUGACUCCAGAAGCACAUGUACCUGCUGGCUGAGACCAGAUCUCCUCACAUUAAACAAAACAACAACAAAUAUGCUUUAGUAAGAUUUCAAGGCAUCUACCAGUAUGUCAGUACAGCCAAUGGACUGUCUAUAGAAGACAGACGCUGGCAGAAAACCGCUUUGAAGCUGCAGGAAUUUUCCUGAGUAGAUUGCCCAAUAUUUUAUGAAUUGCUAUUUGCCAGUUCUUUUUCCACAUGGUACACUAAAGCAAGAAAGGACUUACAAGGUAUGAAACCGCAGUAACUCUGGGUUAGCCUGCCUGUACUUGCCUACUCUCUGGUUUGUUAGAAUCUGCUACUGUAUCCAUUUUAUGAAGCUAGCAAUUAAAUCUCCUCUUGUGUGUUUCUUUGUGACUGCCUGCAUUUUCCUGAGAGCACAUGCAUGACAGCAUUAUUAAACUGCAUUGCAGCACACUUUAUUUCAAACAUAAAUGCAGCAGCAAUGAUAGAAUAGACUAUAAUAUAGAACCAUUUGUCUCAUUUCAUACCGACAAUAUGAAAGGACAGUUAAAACUCAGUGCCAAGUCUCCCCUACUCCUCUCUUUCUGGGGAAACAGAUGCCUUUCUUACCUGAGUUUUGUUUGCUCCAGGCUCUUGAGAAACAGAACUGAGCACAAGCAAGCAACAUGUGGGAUUUACAGGCAAUAUAAGAUGCAAGCCCAUCUAGAACAGUUUGGUUUAUCAUAACAAUUGUCAACUGAAUUAAAAAGCCAGUAAAAAGAACUAACAAAGUGGAAAGCAUAGAUGAGAAACUUU
This is a long non-coding RNA of Gallus gallus (chicken), 1847 nucleotides long. RefSeq lists it as uncharacterized. Lineage: Eukaryota; Metazoa; Chordata; Aves; Galliformes; Phasianidae. The record is from RefSeq and is a predicted model, not a curated record. The transcript is spliced from 2 exons.